This 497-nucleotide ribosomal RNA is filed under the name uncultured bacterium. RNAcentral describes it as "partial 16S ribosomal RNA". It matches the Rfam family "Bacterial small subunit ribosomal RNA", at positions 28 to 507 of the family's 1533-position model. The record is from RNAcentral.
GAUGAACGCUGGCGGCGUGCCUAAUACAUGCAAGUCGAGCGAACAGACGAGGAGCUUGCUCCUCUGACGUUAGCGGCGGACGGGUGAGUAACACGUGGAUAACCUACCUAUAAGACUGGGAUAACUUCGGGAAACAGGAGCUAAUACCGGAUAAUAUAUUGAACCGCAUGGUUCAAUAGUGAAAGACGGUUUUGCUGUCACUUAUAGAUGUAUCCGCGCCGCAUUCGCUAGUUGGUAAGGUAACGGCUUACCAAGGCGACGAUGCGUAGGCGACCUGAGAGGGUGAUCGGCCACACUGGAACUGAGACACGGUCCAGACUCCUACGGUAGGCCGCAGUAGGGAAUCUUCCGCAAUGGGCGAGAGCCUGACGGAGCAACGCCGCGUGAGUUAUGAAGGUCUUCGGAUCGUAAAACUCUGUUAUUAGGGAAGAACAAAUGUGUAAGUAACUAUGCACGUCUUGACGGUACCUAAUCAGAAAGCCACGGCUAACUACGUG